RNAcentral lists this long non-coding RNA (2468 nucleotides) under Marmota monax (woodchuck). The record is from RNAcentral. Lineage: Eukaryota; Metazoa; Chordata; Mammalia; Rodentia; Sciuridae.
CACUCACUUAAGAUAUUAAAUAGUUACUUUGAAGAAUGGAGUAGAGAGUAAGGAGCGACCCAUGAUGAAGGCUACCAAAUUAGAAUUUGCUUUUCCUCCAUUUGUAAUUGACCAGAGUAAAAGCAUCUCCCCUUUUUAUUUCUAGUAUUUUUUUUCUAGUAUUUACUGCAUCAUGUGGUUGAGGAAAAAAUAUUGUUCCUAAACCAUGUGUUAUGCUCUGAAUUUUUGUGUCUCCCCCCCACCCUCAAUUCACAGGUUGAAACCUGAUCACCUUAUGAUGGUAUUAAUGAUAUGGGCCUUUGGGAGAUGAUUAUGUCAGAAUGUGGAACUCUCAUAAACUGGGCUAACCUUACAUAAGAGAUUCCAGAGACUUACCUUGCCCCUUCCCCCAUAUGAGGACACAGAAGUUGCCAUCUUUGCCAAAAAGCCCUUGACAAAUACCAAAUUUGCCGGCACCUGAUCUUGAGCUUUUCAGAUUUCAGUACUGUGAGAAAUACAUUACUCUUGUUUAUAAGCAAAACAGUCUAAGACAUUUGUUACAGCAGCCCAAAUGGACUAACAUCUUGGUUCUAGAAAUGUGGCAAUAGAGUAAUGUUGCAAAUACAAAUCCCAAGAUGAAAAUAUUGCUUCUGAAUUUGUAUUUACAUAUCAACUUUAGCUGUAUACACACCAAUUUCAGUGUCUUUGUCUUGAGUAGAAAGAAUCUUCAGCAAGUGUAUAAGAAGGGCUUGCAUUCUGAAGGUACAUUUACACCAGCUGAUUGGAUAGAAUUCAGCAUAUAAAAACAAUUUUCAUUCCACAUUAUAUGUACAAUGUUUUUAUUAAUCAAUUAUUAAUAAUGAACCAGAGUACUAUAGCAAUUAGGUAUAGCCAUAUCCUUUAAUCACAUGGUCAUUGAUUACACACAAGUGCUGUAUGUCAGGAAGUACAGUGAAGUAGUUGUUUGAGACUUUGCCAAGGCUGAAGCUGGGGAGCAGAUAAUCAUAAUUUCCCACAUUAAAGCUGACCAUCCCUUCAUUCCUAAUUCUUAACCUUUAGCCAAAAUAUACAAGUUUUUGAGUGCAGUCUGAUGCAAGGUCCAGUGGGCAGGACUUGUGAUGGUAAGGAGGGAAAAGUUUGACCUUGAAUGAUGCUAGGGGUUUUGUCUAAGCCAAAAAUUCUGGCUAGUAUUUAUUGAGAGCUCACUGUGUACUGCACUGUGUGCUUUUUAUCUAAUUUAAUCCUCUCAAUAUUGUUCAUUUAGUUCUGAUACUAUAUGAUGAGUAGCCCCAUCUACUAAUAUGGAAACCGAAGCUAAGAAAAGAUAAAGUCCUUUAUACAACUCACAUUGCAAGGAAGUUGCAGAGGCCAAGAAUUAAAUCUGGUACCAGAACUGAGUUCUUACUACAUAGUCUCAGAACUCUCACAUAUGUUUUUUUCUGUCUAAUAGCAUUUAAAGCUGCUUUACACUAACUUAACUACAGCUGAGGGAGUAGAAAGUAGCAACGAGUGUUUAUGUUAUGCCACUUUGAAUACUAGACAGGUGCAUGCCCAUUACUUCAUUUAAUCUUCUCAACCAAAUUGCUCAGUGGGCGUUUUCCCCAGUUUUCAUAAAUGAAGAAACUGACUCAAAACAUUAGAUUGUCCAGUGUCACAAAAUUUUUUAAUGACAGAGCUGAGAUUUAAAAUUUAUGGCUGUUGGAUUUCUAGCCCAUAUUUUUCUUGCUGUAGCAUGCUCUUUAUCUAAGCACCGAAAAUGUCCUGGUUAAAUGACAGUGGACGUGAGGACACUAUGCUCACUUUCUAUCCAUCCUAGUUGUAAUUUGCCUCUUUGUUUCUUUUCUUUUUCUCUAUGGUCCUCUUCAACUUAAUCUACUGACUCAAAUUCUUUCCUAGUUAAUCUUCAUUCCACAGAUAGUUAUGUCACAUAUUUAACAAUUUUGAAAAUACUCCUUUUAGGCAAAGUGUGGUGGUACACUCCUGUAAUCCCAGCAACUCAGAAGGCUAAGGCAGGAGGAUCGCAAGUUUGAGGUCAGCCUUAGCAACAUAGCAAGACCCUGUCUAAAAAUAAAAAGGACUGUGGAUGUAGCUCAGUGACAAAGCAUCCCUGGGUUCAAGCCCCAGUAUCAAAAAUGGGGAAAAGAAAACAAAGAAAAACACUCACUUAAAAAGUCUUAAAAUCACAAAAUAAUUGUGUUCUAUGUUAACAAAAAUGAUAUUUUGGCUAUUCUGUGAAGCUAAUCUAGCUGCUGAAGUGAUACCCCACUUUGGAACAUAUAACUUUCCUAGUAUUUGAUUAGUGUAAGGAGCUCUCUAUUUGCAAUUGAUUGAAAGAUUGACUUUGCCAUUAAAAAGAUAGGCUUAUUUCAGGAUAAUAGCUAAUCCUUGAAUGGGCAAAUCAUUAUGUUGCAAUUUCCCCAUAUACAUAUUCAUUCCCUAAUCUAACCCUAGCCCAACCCCAAAUUUAAUACUAACCCUAACCUUACCUC